Molecule: ribosomal RNA, 1066 nt
Filed under: Cosmocomoidea morrilli
Lineage: Eukaryota; Metazoa; Arthropoda; Insecta; Hymenoptera; Mymaridae
Description: eukaryotic LSU rRNA
Rfam family: 5.8S ribosomal RNA (bases 1-90)
Source: RNAcentral
UGUGAACUGCAGGACACAUGAACAUCGACAUUUCGAACGCACAUUGCGGUCCACGGAUUAUAUUCCCGGACCACGCCUGGCUGAGGGUCGUUUAUCAAUUCAUACCAGACUGUUCGUUGUUUUCAACGAACGAUGUAUUGGGUGUUCGUUGGGCGAUAUGGUUAGUAGUUUUAUUCUCUGUCGAACGCUCGAAGAAAAAGUGAAAACCAUUCGCUACGGCGUCACCUGAAAUGAUUGAAGAAAUGAAAUUUCAUGUCGUAAUUGAGAGCCAAUAUUCAAAUAAAAUAGAUUCCGAAUAAAAAGAAUCGCAAAACAUAGCGAUGAAAUUGUGUGUCAGAAUGAGAAACGCAAUCGAGAUAUUCUCUGAUUUCCAAUUACGCACGAACCGUUGAACCAUGGUCUUCGGGCUAUACCGUCUAGUAGUCUCUUCGAACGCAAAAUCGUUGUUGUCGUCGUCGUCGUCGUCGUCGUACUAUCUUGAACGCAUCGAUAGUACGUUCGCUCGUACGACUCAAUAGUAGACACACAACGAAAGAGGCGAAGAACGAGUAUGCCGUUGUAACCGGCGUUUAUUACGAGUUUGUUGCAUAGGAAAAUGCGUUUCUUACCGCUACAUGACUGAAUCGAUAUUCGUACAUUGAUCUCGAACGACGAGUCCAUGAGCUUAUCUUCCAAUUGAACGCAAUAGAAACAAGCGGGACCGUCGAAUCGGAUCUAUCGUAAUCGAUAGUCGUAGAUGGUUCAAGAAAUCGAAAAACAACGCAAUCGAAUAGAGAGAAAAUCAUUAACGAUGGUCGUUUUUGAACGCAAAACUCAUUUUGUACACACAGCCGCAUGUAUUGAUAAUGCAAUUCUAAAUUUCGAGUUCGAAUCUAUCGCUAUAUUGGCACGAGAUAUAAAUCGGCGAAAUAUUCAUUUUCUUCUCUUAACCAGUAGCAAUGCCGCUACUGGUGUGUUUGUUGUUGUACCGGUUAUCUUAAUGAUAUAUCGCACAACACAACGAAUUAAAAACAAAUUAUCAAUGACGACCUCAGAGCAGGUGAGACUACCCCCUAAAUUUAAGCAU